Molecule: long non-coding RNA, 3019 nt
Filed under: Homo sapiens (human)
Lineage: Eukaryota; Metazoa; Chordata; Mammalia; Primates; Hominidae
Description: HSALNT0021995
Source: RNAcentral
GCUUUGUUUCUUCCAGAUAAUUUUCUUUGGCUAUCUUCUUUCACUCUUAUAAUCCCCUAUUCAUAUCUCAGUUACAGAACUCUUCACAUUGUUUAGCAAGGAUCUGUGUUUUUCAUUCCUCAAACUCAUCAAUGACAGGUGUAUUUACCUAACAUAUAUACCUGGCAGGUAUAUUUCACCUAAUACAAAGCUGAUACCCUAUCAUUUUUAAAACAAAGUCACGAAAACAUUGUAUUGAGUCAGCAUCAUGGAGUAUAGAAUUUUUUGAAAAUUUGCAAAGGUUUAUAUGAGCUUAAGCUUACUAUUCUGUAGUGUUUGAUUAGGAAGGAGGUGCUGUGUAUGAUCUUGUGUUUUCCAGUCACUUGUGCCUCCUGAGACAAUUAUAUUGUUGGGCAAUAUUGCUGUCCUCCAGGGUGGUGCUUGCAGCUGAAAUUUGACACUUACCUACUGUAAGAUUCACUAGUAGCAUAUGCAAAUGUUUGCUUUCAGGUAAACUUAAAGGACCAAUUCUGCUUGUGCUGAAAAACAGCAAUAGAUACUUUCUUCCAGAAGGCAGAGCAAAUCUCCAUGUUGUCGGCCUGUUGGACAGAAUUACCAGAGAUAGGCUUUCCUAAGAUAGGUCAUCCUUAGCAAUUCCUUCUUCUUUCAACCUCUGGAAAAGUGCAAACAACUCAAACACAUUCAAGGAGGAUGCCCCUUUCUGAGACACAUUUAGAAAAACAAAGGCCUCCACAAAACACUUUGAGAAAUGUGUUUUCUCAAACAAUUACUUAUUUUGACUAUGUGGUACUUUCUAGAUGUUUUAUGAUCAAAUGUGAAUGAUUGUUCUUGGAAAAAGUAGCUGUCUGAUGUUUCAAUUUUUUUUUUCCUCCUCUAUACUUAUUUGCUGUGUAGACACAACCUUGGUGAAACCUGUUUGAUUAGGUAACACAAAGGAAAUCUUCAGAUGUGGUGGAGCCCCCACCCAUCCUUACCCAAAUUUCCUAGUGGAAUUUUGGAAAGCAUUGAUGACCUUUCAUAAAUGUACCACGCCUCAAAUUCUUAUUUUUCCAUUCUGUGAGCAGUUUUUUCUUUCUGACCCUGUUCUCCAUCAAAGCAAACCAGACAACUUCAGGUACUUCCCUUAAAUACUUUAGCAGCUGGACUUUAGCACCUAGAUCAGAGUAAGCAAGAUUACCUUUCAUGUGUUCUCAUAAGCCACUGAUUUUGAUUAGUCUGAGGAAAUGUACAAAUGACUUCCAGCUGAAGCAAGCUUCAUCCCUAUCCAACUGGCUCAAGUUGGGGAAAGCUUCCUGUUGGCUCCUUGAACAGACCUACUGCCUUCUGACCAGGUCUUUGUUGGAGUUCAGGGAGUAGUAAUGUGAGGAUACGCCCUUCUUAUUCAACCACCGGAGAGGGGAUUCAGAUAAUUAAGGCCUCUAGUGUCUUUCCAACACUAGACAGAUGCAUUUUCUGUCAUUGUGGAAUAUAAAUAGAGCUGGGAAUGCCUGUAUAACAGGACAUUACAGCUAAUUUUUCCUCUCUGAUGGGUUGCCAGUACUUUGAAAAUAAGUUCCCCUGCUCUUUCACAAAAAAGCAUCCACAAUUCAGUUGAUAUUUGGGUUGAAGAAUCAUAGUGGUCCUCAUUUUACAAAGUCAUUGCUCCUGAUUAAGAGAGCCACAGUAACCUGCCAAAUACCCACCUCCUUCUGCUGCUUUUGGACCUGCAUGUCUCUCCUUCAGCUAAGUCUGGAAAUUUUCUUUUUCACAAUUUUGCCUACAAGAAACUGUAGAGUAACUAUAGACCCAUUCUUUUUAAGGGACUCUUUUGAGUCCCUUUGGGAUUAUUAAGCAGUUAAAAGUCAAACUCUCUGGGUAAUGGAAUUGGGUUGGAAUUGAUCAUAGGAUGCAAUUCUUGGAUAUAGAUGAAAGUAUGACUUCGUUUAAUUUACUACCAUCCCCAGAAGUGUCAGUGUACAGUGGGAAUAAGCAACAUGGUAGUGCAACUAGAAUCAUUACAUGGGAUCCUGAGAAAGCCUCUAAUAUUUUAAUUUGCUUUCGGGCAGUGUCUUAUUUACCCUCAUUGAAUCUCUUCAAUAAGAAUUAGGUAAUCUCAUUUCCCAAGCAGACUGCAUUUUGCUUAUUUAUCUCACUGAAUAUCAUGUGUUGAGUAUUUUCUUGAAUACAGCAAUAAACUUUGGGAAAGCAUCAGUCAAAUUUAUUUGGCAUCAUAUUUACAUUGUUACCUGAUUAGAGUGACUCUAAGUUAUGCAGCAUUUGCAAAUGAAACCCAUGAUGAGUAUAUAAAAGAACCACAGAAUAUUAGAGCAUGGAUGAAAUUUAGAAAUCUAUUGUAACUUCUUCACUUCACUGUCAAGAAAACUGAGUCCCAGGGAAAUAAAUGGACAUACCAAAUAUCUCUGAAGAAAUUAAUGGUGAAGAGAAUGAGAAUAUGCCACUCCAAAAUAUGCCGCUUUGGCAUGUGGUUUAUUUUAAAAUGAAGGCAAUUGAGAACCAACAGAUGCAGAAAGACAGCUUCUUGGAGCUUCCCUUAUCUAACUAAAAAUGAAAAAUUCCAAGAAAUGAGAACUGUGAUAAAUCCUGUCUGUGGGGGAGUUUUAUGGCCGUAAACUCACUGAGAUGGCUUUGCACAGGCAAACCUUAUGAAAAUAACCCUCAUCUUCCAUUAGUUUCCCCAUAUACUUACCUUCUUACCAUCUGCCAGCCUUAGAAAUUCAAUUCCCCAUCCUCUUUCUUUCAUCUGGUUGCUUCUCUAUAAUUUAUCACCCUUUGUUAAAAUGGUAUAUAAGCUUCUGAGUCUAACUGCUUCUUUGGACAUUUACUUCUUCCUGUGAAGCCCUUGUUCAUGUUAAAAUAAUUAUAUCAAUAAAGAAACACAUUCCUUUUCCCUUCUUAAUUGUCUCGUCAGUUUAAUUCGCAGGCCUCAUUCACUAAACUAGGAGGGUAGAGAAAAAGUACUUUCCUCCUAUAUAGUAGAAAAGUUAAGACUAAGACUCCUUGUGUUCAUCUUUUGAUUUUG